Molecule: long non-coding RNA, 1200 nt
Organism: Apis florea (little honeybee)
Lineage: Eukaryota; Metazoa; Arthropoda; Insecta; Hymenoptera; Apidae
Source: RefSeq, a predicted model, not a curated record
UGUUGUUGUUGUUAAGUUUUGAUGAACGCCUCGCUUUUGAAGAUACAUUUAUCGAACGAAAAACGUAAUACAUUCUAUUCGCAAUAAAUAUCACGAACAGUAUUAAAAGAGAAGAGAAAAGGAACCUACGAAUAAAAUAUCGCUAUUACAGACGAUAUAAUACGAGAAAGAAGCAACACGAAAAUCGCUUGAUUCGAUCGAUAUUGCCUACCCAACUAUGUGUCAAACGAUACGACAUACAUAUAACAGUGCAUCGUCAAAAGUGUCCCGUUUGUUGGAAACGAGCCAUUACAGACAUUCUUUUGUUCCUUCGUUGUCGAUUCUUACAUUGAACGUCCAACAUAUUGUUGUGUAACACGAUUUUGUCGAAUAACGUUCGUGAAUUAUUGUUUCGUUUAUCGUUUUAUUUUUUUUUUUUNUUUUUUUUUUUUUUUUUUUCGUUUUGCAACAGGACACGCCAAGCAUCAUCGAACACGGACAUAAAGGAACUAUUUACAUACUUGUGAUCGUCGAUCAGCCAGGAAGAGUGGAGGCGGACAAAUUUUGGCACCUCGGAAAACAACAUAUCUUGCUCUUCACUGUGGAAUACUUUUCGUUAUUUAGGAUUCUCGAUUGUGAAUGAUACGAGUCAGACAAAACUAUCGAGACAAAACUGGUGGGUGUAAAUAUGGGAAAAAAUGUGGAAGAGAUUCUCAAAAUUUAUGCGUUCAGAGGAUAGGAAAAAUGGGAAAAUUUCAUUGAGAUUAAUUAAUUAUUAUUUUGUUUGAAUGAAAAUAAUUAAAUAGAUAGAUAGAAAUUAUAUUAAUUUUGAACUUAAAAAUUAGAAAUUUUCCAAGUAUAAUUGCACAAUUAUUAAUUUUAAUUCGAAUUAAAACUAUAUACUAAACUAUAUACUAAAAAAUUCUGGUUUUCUAAUUAGAUAUUAUUACAGCAAUCAUAUUCGGCUGUUCAUAUCACUGUUAAUUAUAUAUAUUAAUACUAAUUAAUUAUUUGUUUUUAAUUGGAGUAAAUAUAUAUAUAUAUUUCAAUAGAUUUCGCCAUAAUUCUGAAAUAAAUUAAACUGAAGAUAAACGAGGAUGUUGCAAGUUACUCUAUACAUAAUCUAAUCUAAAAUAAAUUAUCUUUCUCUUGUUUAAAUAUUCUCUUGUGUGCGUUGAGAUUUUUGAUGUUAAAAAGAAUAAAAAACUAUGAAAUGACGAU